GAAUAUUGGACAAUGGGCGAAAGCCUGAUCCAGCCAUGCCGCGUGAGUGAAGAAGGUUUUCGGAUCGUAAAACUCUGUUGUGAGGGAAGAACAAGUACGAGAGUAACUGCUCGUACCUUGACGGUACCUCAUUAGAAAGCCACGGCUAACUACGUGCCAGCAGCCGCGGUAAUACGUAGGUGGCAAGCGUUGUCCGGAAUUAUUGGGCGUAAAGCGCGCGAUGGCGGUCCUUUAAGUCUGAUGUGAAAUCCCACGGCUCAACCGUGGAAGGUCAUUGGAAACUGGAGGACUUGAGUACAGAAGAGGAAAGUGGAAUUCCAAGUGUAGCGGUGAAAUGCGUAGAGAUUUGGAGGAACACCAGUGGCGAAGGCGACUUUCUGGUCUGUAACUGACGCUGAGGCGCGAAAGCGUGGGGAGCAAACA
RNAcentral lists this ribosomal RNA (423 nucleotides) under uncultured bacterium. Its description in RNAcentral is "bacterial SSU rRNA". It matches the Rfam family "Bacterial small subunit ribosomal RNA", at positions 359 to 774 of the family's 1533-position model. The record is from RNAcentral.